This 655-nucleotide long non-coding RNA is filed under the name Homo sapiens (human). RNAcentral describes it as "HSALNT0372880". Lineage: Eukaryota; Metazoa; Chordata; Mammalia; Primates; Hominidae. The record is from RNAcentral.
CUCCGCAAUAGCUCCCGUCCUUUGGAAGGAAGAAGAGCCAACUGGGGUCAUUUGCCUUGGUCUCCUCUCUUCAUUAGAUCCAUAUAAAGAUUGUUGCAGCCCUCAGUGUCGACAGAGAAGCCCGGGCUGGAGAGCCGGAGACGGCCAUGUGCAGAGAGGCCAGGCAAUGCCUGAUUGUGAUUGCAGGAAACUGUUGCCCACACAGAACUGGUUGCUGCAGUAGGAGCUGGAAUAAGAGACAGGGUCCUGCAGAUCUUUGAGCGUUAAGACAAAACCUUUGUCCUGAAAGACUUCGUGAGCUGGUCCUGAGAGACUGUGGCCAAUGCCAGUGUGUUAUCUAUUUCUGAAAUCCGAACUUCAGAAUGAACGGAAGGGAGUCAAAAACCCUGCCUCAGCAUGUCAGGCAAACCUGUAUAUGAGAGCUGCGAGUUUGUUUUGUUGAUUAGUUGAUUGGGGCUGUGGUUGUGGGCAUGGUGGCGUAACACAUUCUUUGUUCUCGUCUACCUUUGCUCCCUUCCCUUCCUAAGUUACAGAAAUAAUACAUGCUUGUUUGAACGCGCAUUUGUUACAAGCAUGUGAUUUUUUUGUAUCUUAAAGUAAUACCAAAGGAAAUAAAAGUUUUUCCCUUACCCCAUCAUUAUCCCUCCAAGGUAAC